Molecule: unclassified non-coding RNA, 1419 nt
Filed under: Daphnia pulex (common water flea)
Lineage: Eukaryota; Metazoa; Arthropoda; Branchiopoda; Diplostraca; Daphniidae
Description: probable tRNA N6-adenosine threonylcarbamoyltransferase, mitochondrial, transcript variant X3
Source: RNAcentral
UAUUUCUUUUAAAUCGAAAAAAACAAAAUAAAAGUCUACGAAAACAAAUUAAGUAUCUGUGAAAAUGCUCAAUCUUUUUUUAAAGAAAAACAAACUGUUUCAUCUCAACAAAUGUUAUCAUCAAUUUUCUAGUUCUUCAAAAGACAUUUGGAAAACAAAUGAAACAAAGCUAAGGUGUUUUCACACACCAAGAUCACAUCAAAGUCUCAUACUUGGAAUAGAAACUAGCUGUGAUGAUACAGGUGCCGCAAUUGUUGACUCUAAAGGCAACAUAAUAGGAGAGGCCUUGCAUUCUCAACUGCAAACCCACUUGGCUAUGGGUGGGAUUAUUCCUCCAAUAGCAAGAGAUCUACAUAUUCAAAAUAUCUCUCAAAUUGUGGAAACGGCCCUUCAAAAUGCAAAUUUAAAAGUCAAAGAUCUUGACGCUAUUGCAGCAACAGUAAAACCAGGAAUGCCGCUUUCCCUGGUAGUAGGCACUGAAUUUGCCAAGAAACUGUGCAAAACAUGGAAUGUUCCAUUCAUACCUAUUCAUCACAUGGAAGCCCAUGCCCUGACAGCUCGAAUGGUGGAAAAGGUCGAUUUCCCCUUUCUAGUGCUCUUAGUCUCUGGUGGACACUGUUUACUGGCUGUGGCGAAAAAUGUCGAUGAAUUUCUCUUGCUGGGAGAAAGCGUCGACAGUGCCCCUGGAGAAGUGCUCGAUAAAGUUGCUAGAAGACUCAAAUUGAGAAACAUGCCUGCCUUUUCUACUUUAUCCGGUGGGAAAGCUAUUGAAAUGUUGGCUACGCAAGGCGACGUUACUUCCUUUGAAUACGGAAAUCAACCAAUGUUUAAAUAUAAUGACUGUUCCUUUAGCUUCACCGGAUUGAGAGAAAAAGUCUACAAACAUAUAGGACGCGAAGAAAUCAUUCACAACACGGAAGCAGAUCAAGUGCUACCGUCUGCUGCCAACUUGUGCGCAAGUUUCCAGCACGCUCUAUUUUCCCACAUCUGCAGACGACUACAACGCGGAAUGCAUUACGUGGACAUGAAACAAAUGAUACCGGAAGGCCCAAGAAAACGGGUACGGUUUAAAAAUUACCUAGGUUGUAUCCGGAGGCGUGGCAUGCAACGACUACUUCCGCAAAUACCUGAGCAUUAUCUGCGCCGAGAUGAGCUACACCCUUGUUUGCCCACCGCCGAAGCUAUGCACCGAUAACGGAAUCAUGAUUGCGUGGAACGGAAUGGAAAAAUGGACGGCAGGUAUUGGAAUCGCCAAAAAUGCCGACGACAUCGACGCCAUAGACAUUGAACCCAAGGCGAAAUUAGGCGUCGAUAUGACAGAAGACGUGCGGAACAUGAACAUAUCUCUGAAAAAGAAGUGGAUUAAAUUGCUGCCAAAGAAAGUGAAUGUUAGUCAGUAAUAAAAAUGUCUUAAACUAA